GGGUGAUAAGACAGCAGUAUUAAACCCUUAUAUGUCAAUAAUCGUUCUAGACCUAAAUGCAUUGAAUUCUCCAAUCAAAAGACAUAGAGUGGCAGGAUGGAUUAAGGAACAGGACUCAACUAUAUGCUGCCUCCAGGAAACGCAUCUCAGCUCCAAAGACAGCCACAGCUUAGAGUGAAGGGAUGGAAGACGAUACUACAAGCCAACGGCAAACAAAAGAGAUUGAGCGCUUUUUCCUCAGAAAUACCCUCAGAAUACUUCUCAACAUACAGCAUAGUCAACUCACUCCAAUCAAUUGGUGCUGACCCAACAAAUGAAACCUGCCCGCCAUGUCUGGCUCGAGACAGUAAAAGCAAGAGUGUGGCCAAGAGUCACAUGCAUAAGAAUUCAUUACAACAAUACAUCAGCUCGAUUUAAUAAGACAUGCUUGAAUUACUGCUGACAAUUAUGAAAGAAUACAAAGAGUAUCUGGUGAGAAUAAUCAAAUGUUGAAUGUGUUGCCUUUGAUCAUUUGUUUGUUUUACUUUACAGCCUAAGUAAAGCUGAUUAAAAUCUACAAGUUGAUUAAAACAGUCUAUUUGUUUUAAAACUUGUUUAAAUAAUCUACUUGUUUUAAAAAAUAAAACAAGUCAAU
This 634-nucleotide long non-coding RNA is filed under the name Equus caballus (horse). RNAcentral describes it as "lncRNA (ENSECAG00000046088.1)". Lineage: Eukaryota; Metazoa; Chordata; Mammalia; Perissodactyla; Equidae. The record is from RNAcentral.